UACAGAGGGUGCGAGCGUUAAUCGGAAUUACUGGGCGUAAAGCGCACGUAGAUGGCUUUGUAAGUCAGAUGUGAAAUCCCCGGGCUCAACCUGGGAACUGCAUUUGAAACUGCAUUGCUCGAAUGUGGAAGAGGGAAGCGGAAUUCCGGGUGUAGCGGUGAAAUGCGUAGAUAUCCGGAGGAACACCGGUGGCGAAGGCGGCUUCCUGGACCGACACUGACGCUGAGGCGCGAAAGCUAGGGGAGCAAACGGG
Molecule: ribosomal RNA, 253 nt
Filed under: uncultured prokaryote
Description: partial 16S ribosomal RNA
Rfam family: Bacterial small subunit ribosomal RNA
Source: RNAcentral